Molecule: long non-coding RNA, 334 nt
Filed under: Brachypodium distachyon (stiff brome)
Lineage: Eukaryota; Viridiplantae; Streptophyta; Magnoliopsida; Poales; Poaceae
Description: long non-coding RNA (BDIS_LNC003893)
Source: RNAcentral
UUAUUGAUAUUUCUUUGUGGAUGAUUUAGGCUUUGCAUAAGUGGCAGCACAUUUUUAUGCAGCUCAAUUCGUUCAAAUGUUGUGUUCAUAAGAUCAUCUGAAAGCCAAUUACAAUAUUCUUGUUGAUGACUUCUUGUUGAUGGAAUAACCCAAGGAUUAGUGGCAACGCAACAGACAUUCCAACAUAUGCCUACUGCACUAAUUCCAUUCUGUUGGUAAGAAACAUACUUGCAGUUCUAGCGAUGAAUGCUAUGUUAUGUUUGCUACAACCUGAAAUAUAUUUAGAUGGGAACAUAAAGUAUUGUAUAUGGGAACUCCUAUGGUAAAUGAAGAU